RNAcentral lists this ribosomal RNA (505 nucleotides) under uncultured bacterium. RNAcentral describes it as "partial 16S ribosomal RNA". It matches the Rfam family "Bacterial small subunit ribosomal RNA", at positions 29 to 523 of the family's 1533-position model. The record is from RNAcentral.
AGUGAACGCUGGCGGUAGGCCUAACACAUGCAAGUCGAACGGCAGCACAGAGGAGCUUGCUCCUUGGGUGGCGAGUGGCGGACGGGUGAGGAAUACAUCGGAAUCUACUCUGUCGUGGGGGAUAACGUAGGGAAACUUACGCUAAUACCGCAUACGACCUACGGGUGAAAGCAGGGGACCUUCGGGCCUUGCGCGAUUGAAUGAGCCGAUGUCGGAUUAGCUAGUUGGCGGGGUAAAGGCCCACCAAGGCGACGAUCCGUAGCUGGUCUGAGAGGAUGAUCAGCCACACUGGAACUGAGACACGGUCCAGACUCCUACGGGAGGCAGCAGUGGGGAAUAUUGGACAAUGGGCGCAAGCUGAUCCAGCCAUACCGCGUGGGUGAAGAAGGCCUUCGGGUUGUAAAGCCCUUUUGUUGGGAAAGAAAUCCAUCUGGCUAAUACCCGGGUGGGAUGACGGUACCCAAAGAAUAAGCACCGGCUAACUUCGUGCCAGCCGCCGCCGUAA